This 262-nucleotide long non-coding RNA is filed under the name Carica papaya (papaya). RNAcentral's name for it is "long non-coding RNA (CPAP_LNC012912)". Lineage: Eukaryota; Viridiplantae; Streptophyta; Magnoliopsida; Brassicales; Caricaceae. The record is from RNAcentral.
CUUUCUUGACUCAAAAAUAUCAAUACAAUACUAAAAAACUAAUAACAAAAAUUAAAGAGAAACUGAACUUCAAAACUUAAGAAAAAGCUUAUAUUUUUAAUAGUUUAUAACCUCCUUUUGAUCGUGAGUUUUCUUACUCUUUUUUUACUUUCACUAAUUUAGUAGAGUUUUUCCAAAAUUUUUAUUUAAAAUAUCAAAAUACUCUUAAAAAUCACAUAUUUUGUACUUUCUCUUCUUCUUUUACAUAUAUGCUUCUUACUAU